RNAcentral lists this long non-coding RNA (43515 nucleotides) under Triticum aestivum (bread wheat). The record is from RNAcentral. Lineage: Eukaryota; Viridiplantae; Streptophyta; Magnoliopsida; Poales; Poaceae.
UAAAACUGAUGCGAGGUUAGGGGCGGUGAGAGGCGGAGCCAUGGUCUUCAAAUUCUUCAUAUUUUGUCUUCGCCGACUUCUGCAUCCGCUGUUAUAGUACUAUCUCUGUGUUCGGUUAUUCUAGGUUCCUUUGUUUCUGUAAAAACUUGUUUGGAUGGAUUCUUGAGAUUUAUGUACUCUUUUCAUUGUCAGCAUUUUUACUUGGAUUAUUAUCUAUGGUCGUUGACUCGGAAGAUAUUUGAAUACAGUAACAUUGCCGUUUGUAAUGCUGAAAAUACAACCUGGAUUUGAGGUAUUGGUUCAGUUUUCGCGACACUGUUUACAUAGUACUAUUUGUUUGACAUCACUUGCACGCACACAAAACUACGGAUUUUACAAGAGAUACAACAGGAUCGGCGCCACAAUGACGCGAUCAUUUCUUGGUCUUGGGCUGCUUGACUAUCAUGACGGAGCAGUGCGCAUGGUGGGCGCAGUAGUCGCUCACGCUCCCGAGAAAUGCCCUGCAAGAAGCGUCCAUGUUCAGAUAAAACCCAUGGCUAUUAGCCAGCAGCAUGCGGAACAGAUCAUCAGUUAAUUACCUCUUGAUUGCACCGUAGCCAUGGCUGCCGACGACGAGCAGAUCGGCGUGGUGCUUGUCGACGGCGUCGCAGAGCACGUACCUCGCCUCUCCUUCCAUCACCUCUAUCAGACCAUGCACCUGCGAUUUGGCAUGAGCAGUACACUUUGAGCAAAUGUCUCCGAUCGAGCAAUGCGGUGAACGGUGGUCGUGGCUGUUACCGAGUUGGCGACGCAGAGGCGUCGCGCCCUGUCAACGACGUCCUCGGCCCUCUUCCGCAGGUCCGCAUCCACCACCCUCACCACGUCCCCGGCGGCGGCUGAAAAUUCCGAAGCAGAGAGACGGAAUCAAGCCAUGUUUUCCCCUUAAAAAAGGCUACAAAAUGGGUCUAUGGCAGGCACCAGGGCUGCCGAAGGUGACGACGGAGGACGCGGGCGGCUUGGCGUGGACGACGACGAGCUCGGCCGCCACGCCGGCCGUCGCCGCGUGCCGCACGGCCCACUCGAGCGCGCGGUAGCUGUGGUCGCUGUCGUCCACGGCCACCAGCACCACCGUCUUCUUCCUACUGCCAUCCUCCGCCGCAGGCGCAGUCUUGGUUUCCGCCAUCGCAAGGAAACUAUUGCUUUUGGUUGGCAGGUUUGCUGUGUGUGAUCUGAUGAGCAGCGCCAUCGAGGGGCGUACAUAUAGGGCCACGGCCAAAAACCGGAAUGGAUGGAUCAUGGACAGUGGAUACUGGUGGCGGCAGCCGGCAGGGUGCCCCGGUUUUCGCUUCGUUUGGCUGUUGGUUUUAGCUCCAGCUUUGCAACUUCCGUCCUGCGGCUGCUGGAUAGCGACCCGCUAAUAGUACAGCCACUCAGCCAACCAGUGCGUGCUGACUGCGACCGUUAGUUUUUCAGUUUCUGCUCCCGGAACCUGUGAUUAGCCAUAGUAGGCGUAGUAAGAUACUUACUGGUCAACACACACACGCUUUACUUUUAAGUUGUACACGGAAGAAGAUUACAUAGUCUCGUAUAGCGCGGAAGUGCUAUUUUGAUCCCGAGCUCACAUGCCCCCGCCUCUUUUUUCAGCAACACCGCUUCCGAUUAUUGCAGUGGUCGGUAAUAAGUAAUAACACGGUCGCAGAAACGAAGUUUACAAGCAGCAGCAUACAUUGUCCAUAAUGUAAGACGUUUUUUGGCACUACAUUUGCGUGCAUUGUCCUCGAGUCCUCAUGUACUUGGGUGCAUCGACCUCGAGUUCUCAUGUCUCUUGGCAACACAGCAUCUUGGGUCACAAGUCACAACACCCAAUAGGUGUGUGUGCGGCACCUUUUUGAAAAGAGAAAAAAAAAACAGUUUUGCAGUGGAAAAGCCAUGCAGCAUUUCGAAAGGACUUCCUUUUCGGGCUCGCGCGGAAUUUAAAUGGAUCCAUAUAUUGAUAUUCAUACAACACUAAAACAACAGCUAUGGUAUCGCUUCUCAGUGUUAAUAGCUGCGUACCUUUCUCGUCAGAUGUUUGUCUUGUUAAAAGUUGUUUCAGCUAUGCAUGCAAAAAAUGUUGCUAUGCAUGGGUUAACAUGCAUUAGCACGGCAAACAUGCAGGCGUACAUGUCAAACAUAAAAACCUCAGGAACUACUAGUCCCACAAAAUUUCUACAGAAUUCAUGUGAUUUUUAAAAAAACGGAGGCAUAAGCUGCUGGCCUUACAAGGACACCAUUAAGGUCAGGCAAAAACUCGCAAAGGUAACGCAGCUUCAAGUUGUCUCUGCCAAGAUUGACAUAAGUAGCGGUCAACAUAUAUGGGAAAUAUGGACAUGGCAAUUGCGUCCAGGAUUCACGUAUAAGAAGCACAUUUCAUAAAGGCAUCACACCGUCUCCCAUAAAAACUUGGUAAAUAAUCAGGCCAGUCCAAAACAAGCAAACUUGGUCAACAUAUACAGGGUCUUAAUGACUGAAAGCAUUUCAUAGACAUAUCAAGACUAAAUCAAAGCAAAAGCAAAAACUGCAGAGGGAACAAGAAAAGUUAUUAGAGAGCUAUACCAAAGCUGUAGCCCUAUGGUUUAGCUGUGAUAACUGGAGGUCCAACACUUCUAAAAGACUCCAUAUAAUUGUCGGUAACAACUGUCAGCCUCCACCCUGGAGUCACGCUUCCACUCUUGGUUUGCCAAUGCGCGAGAAAAAUGGAACAUAGGGAAGAUAUGGAGGAAAUGUGUCAUACAAGUGAUAUUUUAGACUGCAGAUAACACAAACUUUACCACGGUCCAUGUCAUAUGACAGUAGCACAUCCUUGCACCUCCAAACAAAGAAUAUCAAAUUGCAUUCAGGAUGGAUUGCGAUCAAAGCAUAGUCCCUCUGGAACAAGAGAUCAGCAUAGUCCCGUUGUAACAUGUGAUUUUUCUCCCCAAAAAGCUCCCCAAAAAGUUGUGAAGUGCUGAUGUUGUACUUAAAGAUCCAUUCAUUACCAUUAUAGUCCUCAAGAAUCCAGACUGAUAAUUUGGAGCUAUCGUUGUCUCUCAUAUUUAUAAAAUACAAUCGCCCUUGAGAUUGACCAAUAAAAGCCAGAGGACCUAAACAAAUGUUUCCAACACACAUGGUUUCAAGCAAAGAAAUGGUCCUCCAUGUCUUGCCUUCCGUGUCAACUGCUAGUAUCUUAAACUCACAUGUGAGCAAGUGCAUCAUUCCAUUGAAAAAGACACCUCUCAUGUCAACUAUCUGAAUCUCAUUGUCGCCCCAACCAUUUUCCUUGUAACUCCAGGCUCCUGUCUCUGAUGAGUAGAUAUUAACACCUGAGAUAUAUCCAUAGUCCUCAUCACCCUCUAGGAUCUGGAACACAUGGAAGUGGGGUGACAUGGCUCCAUCGAAACCCAAACGGUACGCCAAUGCAUCGCUUUUAUGGCCAGCAUCAGGCAGGAUUACCCAUUCCUCAGUGGCAGGAUUACAUACCACAUAAUCAGCUUCGUCUAUUGGGGAGUCCUUCCAGCAGAGGCAGAAAAUAAGGCCAUUGCAGCAGUCCUUUGGCAAAAUCUGCCUGUAUCCCGUCAAGAAGGACAACGAGGAAUCAGGGAAUAGCUGCUCUUGGUCCCUUGAUAUACCAUCAAAAGUGGGAAAUGCUAUCAAACCAUCCUCAUAGUUGAGUCUGUGCUUGGGGUAGAAGAAGCCGGAGAUGGUCUGGGGCAGCUUUUUGCGGUGUUGGGAGAUGAGGAGGUACCAGAGCCGGGAGACACACUUGAAUCGGCACACUGACUUGACGGGCAGCAGGGACAGAAUCUCGAUGAUAAGGUCAUCUGUCAGGUCAGCAGCGGAGGUUGUCCCGUUCUUGGAGCAGUUCAUCUGUGUGCAAGCCAUUCUGACAAGUAGAGACGGAACACUAAAAUAGUCAUAUCAAAUAUCAGUGCAUGACAGAAUGAAAGGAAGAGCACGGAGGAAGAACAGGCAUACCAGUCUACUGAAGCAGGGAGCGGCAACGAUGGAAGUGGCUAUCAAUGGCGGUUCUGCGGCUGACGGCUGGGAACAAUAGUUACAGUGGCUCAGAUAGUUGAAUAAAAUGCCAAACAACAAAGAAUAAAUCAAAAUAGUACAAGCUAUUGACAGCGACGUGUAACAAGUUGUACUAUUUGAAACUUACUGGUUAGAAACAAUGCCUGGGAACAAAACAUCAAGACUUAAAUACACUUUGUGAAAGUAAAAUGUAAAGGCAGUCUUUCGUUUUCACCGGUUCCUUUGUUCUCACCAACGGUCGCCUGGAGGAUGGAGCGCCAGGCACGGUGGCUGCAAGUCGGACGCGUGAGCCUGACGGACGUGCCUGAGUGAGGUGCAACCAAACACGGAUAGUUGAGGCUCAAGCAAAUCGCUCCAGCACAGCAACCAAACUAGCCCAACAUGCAUUAACAUUGUGACAUCUUUGUUCUACAACUGCUCCAUUAAGUACAAGUUCAAAAACGAAGUCCAGCCAACUACUAUAACUAUUAAUAUGGAUCGGAGGGAGUACUGAAAUUUCUUUCGGAUAGGUGUAUAUGGUGUUAGAAUUUUACAGGCUCCUUUUACACCUUAUUAUGUUUUGGUUUUUGACGAGAAUCCUUUCAGAAUUUUUAUUGAGUCACUUGACUUGCAUUUCUGUGACUGUGAGUAUACAUCUGUAACUUCCACACAGAACCUAAGGCUGGAGGAGUAUGAGCUACGAAGAAAUGAGACCACCCAUAGCAUAGCAGUUAACCUAAAUAGGUUUGAUGUCGUACCUAGUAAGUCAGACGCCGCUGCUCUUUUCCUGUCCUGCCGGCGAGCUUCCAGACCGCCGCCGCUUCGUCCCGGUUCGUCGCCGCUGCCCGCCACAUUCGGGAUCGACUACAGGAUCUCAAGCCAUGCUUCCGCAUAGUCGAUCCAUGGUCCGAUUUAGGGAUCAGGUCCCAAGAUCUGAGAGUUGGCUGGAGGAUUUGGGGAUUAGGGUUCUUGUUCGGCCUGUGUGAAGCGGAGAAGGCCGUUUGUGCGGAGAAGAGAGAAGACGCUCUACGGGCUGCCGAAAUUAGACCAGCCCACAUAAAACUCCGACUGGACCUGCCAUUCCACUCUAGCCACUGUAGAGACCCGGACCGAUUUUCCAAGCAUUUUUUAUUCGGUUUUGAACAAAGCACAAAACAAUGUAUGUUCCAAAUGGGAAAAUUUGAAAUCAUGAAAUUUAAUUAAAUAAUGGAAAUAUUAUAAAAAACAAACAUUAAAAAAACAAAAUUUGAGGACAUGACAUUUUUUGUUGAAAAUUUCAAAAACGCGGACAAUUUUUAGGCAUAGUUGUGAAGCACAUAUGCACUUUUCACAUGGUGUGCUUGACGCGAGGGGAAAUACAGAACACAAAAAGAUGGAUCUUUUUUGUCAAGAAAACCUAUGAAAUAACAAACAAAAUCCGAAAAACCAAAAAAAUGCAUGGAGACAAAAAAAAAUUGUGCUCCCAUGAAUGCGCCCAAAGCGCGACACGUGGCGGCGGUUGGUCGCACCACAUGGUUCGCCCAUGUGCGCUCGUUGUGAGCUCCUCCCGGGGGUACCGCUGGUUAGUUGACCCCAUUCUUAGGAGUUCUUAUUAACCAUCCGCAAGCUUGGCUAAGAGCAAGAGUAGGUCGGCGGCACAGUUUGCCCGUGAGCGAUUUUUUAAAAAUUAUCUUCAGUCUUUUAGGUUGUCGGUUUGCCCGUGAGCGAUUUAAAAAAAAUUAUCUUCAGUCUUUUAGGUUGUUUCUCAACCCCCCAAAAAAUGGCUGUUGUUUUUUAGGAGCUACAUAUUUGAAAACCUAUUUAUUUUAAUAAUAUUCUUUACAAAGUUGUUCAGUAUGUUUUUUAUAGAAAAGAUUGUUCUAUAUUAAAAGAAGUUCAUCGUAUACUAAAAAAAAUCAGUAGGAAGAAAUGAAUAUGACAUGUAGGCCCACAUAGUAAGUGAGAGAAGUGAGUAAUCCCGGUUUAAUUUCGACCACACAUACAAUUUUUUUUAGGGGUAAACCAUACAUACAACUUCAAGCUUUAAAAUAGACUUUACUCAACCCACUUCAUUUCAUGUGACCUUUAAAAACGGAGGCAUACACGCUCCUGGCCUUACAAAGACACCAUUAAGGUCAGGCAAAAACUCGCAGGUAACACACCUUCAAGUUGUCCCUACCAAGAUCGGUAUAAGUAGCGGUCAAUGUAUAUGGAAAAUAUGGACAUGGCAAUUGCGUCCAGGAUUCACGUAUAAGAAGCACAUUUCAUAAAGGCAUCAAACUGUCUCCCACUCUUCCAUAAGCCACGAGUCGCAUUGUGGCCUCCAGGGGUUGCGGAUAAAUUGUAGAGAGAUCUAUUAAUGCAUAUACUUUAACUCCGCCUAUGUUGUCUCAACAUAGCCGGUCCCAAGCCCGGGUAAAGGAGGAGGGUUGUGAUAGGCUUGGCGAGCCAACGUAAAAACUCAGCCACUCUUAUGGAGAUGAAACCCAAAAGAUUUUCGUUGGGGCGUAACCCUCUCAGCGACGCGCCACAUCGGAACCCGGGUGUGGUGAAAAAUGGGCAAGGGCCGGGCCGUCACCCCCCAAGUGGCGCCCCGUAUCUUGAUCCGGAUACGGUGGCAAGUGAGCGAGGAUCGGGUCGUCGCAUCCUUAGUGGCGCGCUACAUCGGCGCCCGGAUGUAGUGGAAAAUAAGCAAGGGUCUUCGCAUUUGACUCGACGAGUGCGAAGGGUAAGGAAGCUAGCCGAGCCUAGGAGGAUUCGCUUAGGUAGCUGGAACGUAGGGUCUCUGACAGGGAAGCUUCGGGAGCUAGUUGAUGCAGCAGUGAGGAGAGGUGUUGAUAUCCUUUGCGUCCAAGAAAUCAAAUGGAGAGGACAGAAGGCGAAGGAGGUGGAGGAUACCGGCUUCAAGCUGUGGUACACGGGGACGGCUGCAAACAGAAAUGGCGUAGACAUCUUGAUCAACAAGAGCCUCAAGUAUGGAGUGGUAGACGUCAGGAGACGUGGGGACCGGAUUAUCCUGGUCAAGCUGGUAGCUGAGGACUUGGUUCUCAAUGUUAUCAGCGCAUAUGCCCCGCAAGUAGGCCACAAUGAGAACACCAAGAGGGAGUUCUGGGAAGGCUUGGAAGACAUGGUUAGGAGUGUACCGAUUGGUGAGAAGCUCUUCAUAGGAGGAGACCUCAAUGGCCACGUGGGUACAUCUAACACAGGUUUUGAAGGGGCGCAUGGGGGCUUUGGCUAUGGCAUCAGGAAUCAAGAAGGAGAAGAUGUCUUAAGCUUUGCUCUAGCCUACAACAUGAUUGUAGCUAACACCCUCUUUAGAAAGAGAGAAUCACAUCUGGUGACUUUUAGUAGUGGCCAACACUCUAGCCAAAUUGAUUUCAUCCUCUCGAGAAGAGAAGAUAGGCGUGCGUGCCUAGACUGUAAGGUGAUACCUGGGGAGAGUGUUGUACCCCAGCAUAAGCUGGUGGUUGCUGACUUCCGCUUUCGGAUUCGUGUCCAGCGGGAUAAGCGUGCCAAGGUCGCUAGAACGAAGUGGUGGAAGCUCAAGGGGGAGGUAGCUCAGGUGUUCAAGGAGAGGGUAUUUAAGGAGGGCCCUUGGGAGGAAGGAGGGGAUGCGGACAAUGUGUGGAUGAAGAUGGCGACUUGCAUUCGUAAGGUGGCCUCGGAGGAGUUUGGAGUGUCCAGGGGAAGGAGAAGCGAAGAUAAGGAUACCUGGUGGUGGAAUGAUGAUGUCCAGAAGGCGCUUAAAGAGAAGAAAGAUUGCUUCAGACGCCUAUACCUGGAUAGGAGUGCAGACAACAUAGAGAAGUACAAGAUGGCGAAGAAGGCCGCAAAGCGAGCUGUUGGUGAAGUAAGGGGUCGGGCAUAUGAGGACCUCUACCAACGGUUAGGCACGAAGGAAGGUGAAAGGGACAUCUAUAAGAUGGCUAAGAUCCGGGAGAGGAAGACGAGGGAUAUUGGCCAAGUCAAAUGCAUCAAGGACGGAGCAGGCCAACUCUUGGUGAAGGACGAAGAGAUUAAGCAUAGAUGGCGGGAGUACUUCGACAAGCUGUUCAAUGGGGAGAAUGAGAGUUCUACCAUUGAACUGAAUGACUCCUUUGAUGAGACCAGCAUGCGUUUUGUGCGGCGCAUCCAGGAGUCUGAGGUGAAGGAGGCUUUAAAAAGGAUGAAAGAAGGCAAGGCGAUGGGCCCUGAUUGUAUCCCCAUUGAGGUGUGGAAAGGUCUCGGGGACAUAGCGAUAGUAUGGCUAACCAAGCUUUUCAACCUCAUUUUUCGGGCAAACAAGAUGCCAGAAGAAUGGAGACGGAGUAUAUUAGUACCAAUCUUCAAGAACAAGGGGGAUGUUCAGAGUUGUACUAAUUACCGUGGAAUUAAGCUGAUGAGCCAUACAAUGAAGCUAUGGGAGAGAGUCAUUGAGCACCGCUUAAGAAGAAUGACAAGCGUGACCAAAAAUCAGUUUGGUUUCAUGCCUGGGAGGUCGACCAUGGAAGCCAUUUUCUUGGUACCACAACUUAUGGAGAGAUAUAGGGAGCAUAAGAAGGACUUGCAUAUGGUGUUCAUUGACUUGGAGAAGGCCUAUGAUAAGAUACCGCGGAAUGUCAUGUGGUGGGCCUUGGAGAAACACAAAGUCCCAGCAAAGUACAUUACCCUCAUCAAGGACAUGUACAAUGAUGUUGUGGCAAGUGUUCGAACAAGUGAUGUCGACACCGAUGACUUCCCGAUUAAGAUAGGACUGCAUCAGGGGUCAGCUUUGAGCCCUUAUCUUUUUGCAUUGGUGAUGGAUAAGGUCACAAGGGGUAUACAAGGAGAUAUCCCAUGGUGUAUGCUCUUUGCGGAUGAUGUGGUGCUAGUUGACGAUAGUCGGACGGGGGUAAAUAGGAAGUUAGAGUUAUGGAGACAAACCUUGGAAUCGAAAGGGUUUAGGCUUAGUAGAACUAAAACCGAGUACAUGAUGUGCGGUUUCAGUACUACUAGCUGUGAGGAGGAGGAGGUUAGCCUUGAUGGCCAGGUGGUACCUCGGAAGGACACCUUUCGGUAUUUGGGGUCAAUGUUGCAGGAGGAUGGGGGUAUUGAGGAAGAUGUGAACCAUCGAAUCAAAGCCGGAUGGAUGAAGUGGCGCCAAGCUUCUGGCAUUCUCUGUGACAAGAGAGUGCCACAAAAACUAGAAGGCAAGUUCUACAGGACGGCGGUUCGACCCGCAAUGUUGUAUGGCGCGGAGUGUUGGCCGACUAAAAGGCGACAUGUUCAACAGUUAGGUGUGGCGGAGAUGCGUAUGUUGAGAUGGAUGUGUGGCCACACGAGGAAGGAUCGAGUCCGGAAUGAUGAUAUACGAGAUAGAGUUGGGGUAGCACCAAUUGAGGAGAAGCUUGUCCAACAUCGUUUGAGAUGGUUUGGGCAUAUUCAGCGCAGGCCUCUAGAAGCUCCAGUACAUAGCGGACGGCUAAAGCGUGCGGAGAAUGUCAAGAGAGGGUGGGGUCGACCGAUUUUGACAUGGGAGGAGUCCGUUAAGAGAGACCUGAAGGAUUGGAGUAUCGACAAAGAGCUAGCUAUGGACAGGGGUGCGUGGAAGCUUGCUAUCCAUGUGCCAGAGCCAUGAGUUGGUUGCGAGAUCUUAUGGGUUUCACCUCUAGCCUACCCCAACUUGUUUGGGACUAAAGGCUUUGUUGUUGUUGUUGUAUCUAUUAAUGCAUAUACUUUAACUCAACGCAUACUGUGCUUGAGCGUUCAUUUUUUCCAUUGUAAGUUGCCUUAUCUUUAUUAGCAUGAGAAAGCAAUGAUUCAUUCUUUCCAUUAUUCCUUAAGUAUACAAUUAACUCAAGGUUUUUCAAUGGAUAUGAUAAGCUGGAGAAGAAGAAAUGAGCAGGCAAGAAGCCAAUGACUACCACAUAUAAUCAGGUCAGUACAAAACAAGCAGACUUGGUAAAUAAUCAAAGCAAAAGCAGACUUGGUAAAUAAUCUCAGUCAAGUCAAAUUACAGGGUCUUAACGGCUGAAAUCAUUUCAUAGAUACAUCAGGACUAAAUCAAAGCAAAAGCAAAAACUGCAGAGGGAAAAAAAGAGGAGUCAUUGGAGAGCUAUACCAAAGCUGUAGCCCCAUGGUUUAGUUGUGAUAACUGAAGGUCCAACACUUGUAAAAGAUUCCAUAUAAUUGUCGGUAACAACUGUCAGCCUCUACCCUGGGGUCAGGCUUCCACUCUUGGUCUGCCAAUGCGUGAGAAAGAUGGAACAUAGGGAAGAUAUGGAGGAAAUGUAUGAUACGAGUGCUCUUUUAGACUGCAGAUAACACGAGCUUUACCACGGUCCAUGUCAUAUGACAGUAACACAUCCUCGCACCUCCAAACAAAGAAUAUCAAAUUGCAUUCAGGAUGGAUUGCGAUGAAAGCAUAGUCCCUUUGCAACAAGAGAUCAGCAUAGUCCCGUUGUAACGUGACAUCCUUCUCCCCAAAAGCUCCCCGAAAAGUUGUGAAGUGCUGAUGUUGUACUUAAAGAUCCAUUCAUUACCAUUAUAGUCCUCAAGAAUCCAGACUGAUAAUUUGGAGCUAUCAUUGUCUCUCAUAUUUAUAUAAUACAGUCGCCCUUGAGAUUGACCAAUAAAAGCAAGGUCACCUAAAUAAAUGUUUUCAUCACACAUAGUUUCCAGCAAAGAAAUGGUCCUCCAUGUCUUACCCUCAGUGUCAACUGCUAGUAUCUUAAACUCACGUGUGAGCAAGUGCAUCAUUCCAUUGAAAAAGACCUCUCAUCUCAACUAUCUGAAUCUCAUUGUCGCCCCAACCAUUUUCCUUGUAACUCCAGGCUCCUGUCUCUGAUGAGUAGAUAUUAACACCUGAGAUAUAUCCAUAGUCCUCAUCAUCCUCUAGGAUCUGGAACACAUGGAAGUGGAGUGACAUGGCUCCAUCGAAACCCAAACGGUAGGCUAUUGCAUCACUUUUAUGGCCAGCAUCAGGCAGGACUACCCAUUCCUCAGUGGCAGGAUUGCAUACCACAUAAUCGGCUUCGUCUAUUGGGGAGUCCUUCCAGCAGAGGCAGAAAAUAAGGCCAUUGCAGCAGUCCUUUGGGAAAAUCUGCCUGUAUGCGGUCAAGAAGGGCAACGAGGAAUCAGGGAAUAGCUGCUCUUGAUCCCUUGAAAUACCAUCAAAAGUGGGAAAUGUUAUCACAUCAUACUCAUCAUUGAGUCUGUGCUUGGGGUAGAAGAAGCCGGAGAUGGUCUGGGGAAGCCUUUUGCGGUGUUCAGGGUGGGAGAUGAGGCUGUACCAGAGCCGGGAGACACACUUGAAUCGGCACACUGACUUGACUGGCAGCAGGGACAGAAUCUCGAUGAUAAGGUCAUCUGUAAGGUCAGCAACAGAGGUUGCCCCGUUCUUGGAGCGGUUCAUCUGUGUGCAAGCCAAUCUGACAAGUUGAGAAGGAAAACGAAAAUAACCAGAUCAAACAUCAGUGCAGGACAGAAUGAAAGGAUGGAAGAAAGAGCACGGAGGCAGAACAGGCAUACCAGUCUACUGAAGCACGGAGCGGCAACAAUGGAAGUGGCUAUCAACGGCGGUUCUGCGGCUGACGGCUGGGAACAAAAGUUACAGUGGCUCAGAUAGUUGAAUUAAUUGCCAAACAACAAAGAAUAAAUCAAAAUAGUACAAGCUAUUGAUAGCGGCGUGUAACAAGUUUGCUAAUACUAUUUGAAACUUACUGGUUGCAAACAACGCCUGAGGACAAAACGUCAAGACUUAAAUACACUUUGUGAAAGCUAAAUGUAAAGGUAGUCUUUUGUUUUCAUCGGUUCCUUCAUUCUCACCAACGACCGCCUCGAGGAUGGAGUGCCAGGCACGGUGGGCUGCAAGUCGGACGCCUGAGUCUGACGGACGUGCCUGAGUGAAGCUACGUCUCUUUGAUCAGUUAUCUUUCCAGAAUAAAUACUAGCUAGGGUUUUCAAUUUUGCUCCCAGUGUAUCCAUAAAUGAGACAUUUGUUCAAGGAGGAACCCUUCCGGGAAUGUAAUUACGAAUAAAUGGUUUAUUUCCAAAUUAGCGCCAUCUCAGUGUGGCAACCAAACACGAAACGUAGAGUCUCAAGCAAAUCGCUCCAGUGCAGCAACCAAGCUAGCCCAACAUGGUUAACAAUGUGACAUCUUUGUUCUACAACCACUCCAUUAAGUACAAGUUCAAAAACGUAGUCUAGCCGACUAACUAUUAACAUGGAUACACGGUGUUAGAAUUUUACAGGCUCCUUUUACAACUUUUUUGUUUUUGUUUUUGAGAAUCCUUUCAGAAUUUUUAUUGAGGCACUUGACUUGCAUUUCUGUGACUGUGACUAUACAUCUGUUACUUCGACGCAGAACCUAACGCUGGAGGAGUAUUAGCUGCAAAGAAAUGAGACCGCCCAUAGCAGUUAACCUAAAUAGUACUUCCUCCAUUCCUAAAUAUAAAGUCUUCUAGAGUUUUUAAUAUGGACCACAUAAGGAUGUAUAUAGACAUAGUUUAGAGGGUAGAUUCACUCAUUUUGCUCCGUAUGUAGUCUAUAUUGAAAUCUGUAGAAACACUUGUAUUUAGGAACGGAGGGAGUAGUUUUGAUGUCGUACCUAUUAAGUCAGACGCCGCUGCUCAACCUCCGCUUGUCCUGUCCUGCCGGCGAGCUUCCAGACCGCCGCCGCUGCCCGCCACAUCCGGGAUCGGCAGGAGCUCAAUCCAUGCUGCCGCAUAGUCAAUCCAUGGUCCGAUUUAGGGAUCGGGUCUCAAGAUUUGAGAGAGGGCUGGAGGAUUUGGGGAUUAGGGUUCUUGUUCGUCCUGUCUCCUGUGUGUAUGAGGCCGUUUGUGAUUUUGUGGGGAGUGCGUCACGCAAGGAGAAGACGCUCUACGGGCUUCGGCCCAAAUUAGACCGGCCCGCAGAAAACUCGGCCCUAAAAUCUUGUGACUGACAUAAUAAAGCUUUAGCGGUUUCUCAAAAAAAAAAAAGCUUUAGCGAGAUUGUCAAAAAGAAACUGUAGUAAUUGUUGUGAAAUCAUUGGUCAAGGAUACUCUUUGCAAAUGUCAUCCUCACAUCUUUUUGUGAUGACAAAUGGUGUACUGUAUGUACGACACUUGUCACAGCCUAGGUUUUUUUUUGUAUAUUCAUUCUUCCUAAACUUUUUAUCUAUUAAAUCUUGCGCCCAAACCAUGAACCAUUAUUAUCCUUGCGUUUCUUGCGUUGACAUCUUCAAAAUUAGAUCUCAUGUUAAUAGAUUCGGACAAACCUUUUUCUGAAAAAAGCAGAAAACAAAAAAAUCAGAAACUAAUUCUUUUGGAAAAAUGGAAAUAAAAAUAAAAAUCAGAAAAAACACAUAGUGUGCUUCACGCGAGGAAAACACACAAAAAAAGUAUGGAUCUUUUUUGUCGAGAAAAUUUAUGAAAUAACAAACAAAAUCUUAAAAAAACGCAUGGAGACAAAAAAUUGUGCUCCCACAGAUGUGCCCAAAGCAUGACAUGUGACGGCGGUUGGCCAUAUCACGCGGUUCACCCAUGCGUACCCGCUGUGAACUCCUCCCGGGGAUACCGUUGGUUAGUUGACCCCAUUCUUAAGAGCUCUUAUUUACCACCCGCAAGCUUGGCUGAUAGCAAGAGCAGGUUGGUGGCACAAUUUGCCCGUGAGCGAUAUAAAAAAAAUCUUCAGUCUUUUAGGUUGUUUCUCACCCCCCCCCCUCCCAAAUAGUUGUUAUUUUUUAAAAUUAAAAUGGUUGUUAUUUCUUAGGAGCUACAUAUUUGAAAACCUAUUAAUUUUAAUAAUAUUCUUUAGAAAAUUGUUCAGUAUGUUUUUUAUAAAAAAUUUGUAUAUUAAAAAAAGUUCAUCAUAUAUUUAAAAAGUUCAGUAGGAAGAAAUGAAUAUGACAUGUAGGCCCACAUAGUAAGUGAGAGAAGUGAGUGAUCCCAGUUUAAUUUCGACCACACAUACAAUACAACUUCAAGGUUUAAAAUAGACUUUACUCAACCCACUCCAUUUCCUGUGAUCUUUAAAAACGGAGGCAUACACGCUCCUGGCCUUGCAAGGACACCAUUAAGGUCAGGCAAAAACUCCCAAAGGUAACACAACUUCAAGUUGUUCCUUCCAAGAUUGAUAUAAGUAGCGGUCAACAUAUAUGGGAAAUACGGACCUGGCAAUUGCGUCCAGGAUUCAGGAUUCACGUACAAGAAGCACAUUUCAUAAAGGCAUCACACUGUCUCCCAUAAACCACAAAUCACAUUGCGGCCUUGAUGGGUUGUGGAUAAACUGUAGAGAGAUCCAUUAAUGCAUAUACUUUAACUCGACGCAUACGUGCUACAACCAGGCCCGUCGAGGAGGGUGUGCAAGCGGUGCAAUCGCACAGGGCCCCGCAAAUCGUAGGGGCCCCGAUCAGAGAAAAAAACCAUGAUAUGAUCCGGUUCAUGCGCUGCAUGUUUGACUUUUUUAACUGGCUCGCCUGAUCCUACCGCAAGAAAACUGCAGCCGAAUGCAGCAACUCGCAGUCUCAUCGUUACGGGUGAGGCCCAUAGUCUUUUUUUACGAGUGAGGCCCAUAGUCAAUAUCGUCGUUCUCCACUAGUCGCAGCAAACAGGCCCCCAGCCGGAUGCACGAGAUCAAAUAGAUAGUUUUGUCUCUCCGAAAAAAAAAAACAACUUCACCAAAGAGAAAUAGGGAGGCGCCGUCUACCUGCUUCUACGAAGGGACGAGCUGCCGAUAGAUGGCGGACGGCCACCGCGCGUCCGCUGUACGGCCGAACGUGGGCACCUAUUUCCCUGCUGCAGCAGUCUCAUCUGAUCAUCCCAGAAUAUAUUCCGAGGUACUCCCUCCGUUCCGAAUUACUUGUCACAGGUAUGGAUGUAUCUAGAUGUAUUUUAGUUCUAGAUACAUCUAUUUCUGCGACGAGUAAUUUAGAAUGGAGGGAGUAAGUCGUAAUCCAUAAGCCCGGAUUCAAAAUAUGCGGACGAGAAACUAGUUAGGGUUAUAUAUUUUUUGAUACAAUUCUGGUUUUUUUGAUGUUUUCAUAUCGUACCGAAUGCAAUCCCUACAAAUAGAGCAGUGCUACUCCACUAGGCCUGUACUUCAUUUUAAUCAAAAUUAAUAGGCUUGAGACAUUACCCGCAAUCUAAUUUUUAAUUCUAGUACCAUUCUUUGGUGUGUGCUUUUCUACUAUACUACUAGCAUAUUUCAUUGCAAAAAAGACUCAAUCGAUUUUUUCUUUUAUGAGAAUAGACUCGACAGAUUUAAAGAUUUUGUUUAAGAAAUACUAGACAGAUGAUGCUUUUCGGUAGAAUAUACGUUUACUCUUUCGCAUUACUAUGUGAUAAAUAUUAUACGAAAUAACACAUAUUCAAAACUAUAUUAUUAAGUGAAAAUAUGUCUAGUUAUAUUAGUUAUACAAUUUUCUGCAAACCUUUGGGCCCCGUGUCACAUUUUGCACUGGGGCCCCAAAUUCCUGGAGACGGCCCUGGCUACAACGUCCAUAUGUUCCAUUGUAAGUUGCCUUAUUUCUAUUAGCAUGAGAAAGCAACAAUUCAUUCUUACAUACGUUUAGAUUUUUUCAUUAUUCCCUGAGGAUACAUCGAACUCAAGGUUUUUCAAUGGAUAAGAUAUACUGGAAGAGAAAUGAGCAGGCAAGAAACCAAUGAGUAGCACAUAUAAUCAGGUCACUCAAAAACAAGCAGACUUGGUAAAUAAUUUCAGUCAAGUCAAACUAGAGGGUCUUAAUGACUGAAACUAUUUCAUAGAUAUAUCAGGACUAAACCAAAGCAAAAGCAAAAACCACAGAGAGAAAAAAGAAAAGCAUUAAGAGCUAUACCAAGCUGUAGCCCUAUGGUUUAGUUGUGAUAAACUGAAGGCCCAACACUUGUAAAAGACUCCAUAUCAUUGUCGGUAACAACUGUCAGCCCCCACCCUGGAGUCAUGCUUCCACCCUUGGUCUGCCAAUGUGCGAGUAAAGUGGAACAUAGGGAAGAUAUGGAGGAAAUGUGUCGGAGAAGUGGCUUUUCAGACUGCAGAUAACACAAACUUCACCACUGUCCAUGUCAUGACACUAGCACAUCCUUGCUCCUCCAAACAAAGAAUAUCAAAUUGCAUUCAGGAUGGAUUGCGAUCAAAGCAUAGUCCCUUUGCAACAUGAGAUCAGCAUAGUCCUGUUGUAAGUUGAGAUCCUUCUCCCCAAAAAGCUCCAAAAUAAGUUGUGCAAUGCUGAUGCUGUACUUAAAGGUCCAUUCAUUACCAUUAUAGUCCUCAAGAGUCCAGACAGAUAAUUUGGAGCUAUCGUUGUCUGUCGUAUUUAUAACAUACAAUCGCCCUUGGGAUUGACCGAUAAAAGCAAGAGGACCUACAAAAAGUUUCCCAGAAUCAUAGUUUCCAGCAAAGAAAUGGUCCUCCAUGUCUUACCCUCAGUGUCAACCGCUAGUAUCUUAAACUCAUAGGUGAGCAAGUGCAUCAUUCCAUUGAAAAAGACACCUCUCAUGUCAACUAUCUGAAUCUCAUUGUCGCCCCAACCAUUUUCCUUGUAACUCCAGGCUCCUGUCUCCGAUGAGUAGAUAUUAACACCUGAGACAUAUCCAUAUUCAACAUCACCCUCUAGGAUCUGGAACACAUGGAAAUGGGGUGACAUGGCUGCAUCGGAACCCAAACGAUAUGCCAAUGCAUUGCUUUCAUGGCCAGCAUCAGGCAGGACUACCCAUUCCUCAGUGACAGGAUUGCAUACCACAUAAUCGGCUUCGUCUAUUGGGGAGUCCUUCCAGCAGAGGCAGAAAAUAAGGCCAUUGCAGCAGUCCUUUGGCAAAAUCUGCCUGUAUCCCGUCAAGAAGGCCAACGAGGAAUCAGAGAAUGGCUGCUCUUGGUUCCCCAAAAUACCAUCAAAAGUGGGAAAUGUUACCAAAUCACCCUCGUCGUUGAGCCUGUGCUUGGGGUAGAAGAAGCCGGAGAGGGUCUUGGGCAGCUUCUUGCGGUGUUGGGAGAUGAGGCGGUACCAGAGCGAGGAGACACACUUGAAUCGGCACACUGACUUGACAGGCAGCAGGGACAGAAUCUCGACGAUAAGGUCAUCUGGAAAGUCAGCAGAGGAGGUUGCCCCGUUCUUGGAGCAUUUCAUCUGUGUGCAAGCCAUUCUGACAAGUUGAGAUGGAAAGCGGAAAUAAUCAGAUCAAAUAUCAGUGCAGGACAGAAUGAAAGGCCGGAAGGAAGAGUAUAGAGGCAGAACAAACAUACCAGUCUACUGAAGCAGGGAGCGCCAACAAUGGAAGUGGCUGUAAACAGUAGUUCUAUGGCUGGCAGCUGGGAACAAUAGUUACAGUGACUCAGAUAGUUGAAUAAAACGCCAAACAACAAAGAAUAAAUCAAAAUAGGACAAGCUAUUGAUAGCAACAUAAACAAGCUUGCUAAUACUAUUUGAAACUUAUUGGUUGCAAACAAUGACAUGACCAAUUAUAGUUCUAGUCGUACAAAUAUUGACGACACACAAGCUGCUGGUCUGGACCAAGCUAUUGCUGCUCCAUUAGAGGUCGCAGCUGGCGGUGUAUAUGUUCCGACUUCCGACAAAUCUACGAUUGAGCUACAAGACCGCAGAUGAGCUACUGUUCUAUAUAUGCAUGUUUAUGUUUUGCAGAACGGAAGGGGUAUGGACCAAAGUGAGAUAUAUAGUACAGGAAAUAAAGGAGAACAAUAAUAAUACUUGUGGAGAGGCCAGAUUCUACACGUACAUAUUUGGAGGCAAGCCGUACAGGUAUUUUAUUAUUUUGCAUGAUUACGUGAGAGAGAUAGCUGGAUGGAGAUAUUAUUAUUUUGCAAACAAACUAAUUAAAGUGGAGGACCUAUCUGCUGCACUUAUAUGGUAUAAAUGGCAGAGGCUGGUAAUCAUCUACUCCUAUUCCUACCACGCAGAGAAAGAAAGUGGGGAUGUAUUUCCAUAGGUGAUUUGUCGAGUCUUUGUGCUGUUGGAUGGGGGCCACCUGCAAGCUUGGGGAUGAUGUCGGUUGCUAAUAUAUUAGGAUAGAGUUGUUUAGUUGAGGUGUGGCCGAGAUGCAAAAGGCUUGCACUACCUAAUAUAAAUAAGAGUUUGGUUCGCUUUUACGUACGUGCCGUUUCUUGUCGUCUAAGUUUUUGUCAAGUCGGCUACUCUAUAAAGCCAGGGUAUGAGACAUUGUAAGUCAGGAUAUUUUAGAUGAAUUAGACACUAUGCGUGUUCCGGCCCGUCGGCCAUUAUCGAGUUUAGAGAAAUCUUGUUAAAAAUCUCUACCGGCGUAUGAGUUCCUGCGACACGACACAUAGGAGAUCACAAGCUGAGGCUCUACGGUUCGUUCACGUUAAUUAUUCCUUCGGAUCUAGAGGUUAGCGUGUUGUUUCGGCAGGAUUUGCGAACAUCUUCGUAAACAUGCUACGAUUACUUGCUGCCAUGGAGGUUUGUUACUAGAAUUUUAAAGGCUCCUUUUAAACUUUUUGGUUUUGAUGAGAAUCCUUUUAGAAGUUUCAUCGAGUCACUUGACUUGCAUUGCUGUGACUCCGAGUAUACAUCUGUAACUUCCACGCAGCUCCUAAGGCUAGAGGAAAACUACUGGAAACGAAGAAACGAGACCACCCAUAGCACGCUAAAUAGUUUUGAUGUCAUACCUAGUAAUUCAGGCGCCACUCUCAACCCUCCGCUUGUCCUGUCCUGCCGGCGAGCUUCCGGGCCGCCGCCGCUUCCCCCCGUUUCGCCGCCGCUGCCCGCCAAAUCCGGGAUCGACAGGAUCUCAAGCCAUGCUGCCGCAUAGUCAAUCCAUGGUCUGAUUUAGGGAUCAGGUCUCCAGAUUUGAGAGUGGGCUGGAGGAUUUGGGGGUUAGGGUUCUUGUUCGCCCUGUGCAAAGGCCGUUUGUGCGGGGGAGUUUUUUUUUUCUUUCCAGUAUACUGAUAUAGUGAUAUUUUCUUUCUCUGAGAACUACUGAUAUAGUGAUAUGCAUCGCGCCAUAGCCUGCCUGUAGCGGCGAUCGCUCACAGGGACCGGAUAGAUGGGCCAGGCCCAGCGCGAAGAAAACGCAAAACACUCCGAUGCAAGGCUUUGGAUCAUUGGAUGGGGGGAAUUAUGGAGUCCAUGCAAGAAGCAUAAUCUAUCUAAAAAAAACACAAGAAGCAUAUAAUCCUAUACGUAUACUAGCAAAAAUGCCCGUGCGUCACAAAAAAUAUAUAAAUAUUGUACAUGCAAAUCCAACAAUACAUGAACUAAAUGAAGCAUAUGGUUAGUAUAUUAGUAUAUAUACAUUUGAAAUUGUAGUGGCUCAACACCGAUCGUCUAGUAUAUACUAGUAUUAAAACAUGCAACAUUUGGUUUUAUCCUCGAUAAGAAAUACACAUUGGAUGUAUAAAUAUCCUAAGAAAAUUAUUUAAAAGUAGUAUAUGAGAUUCUUCUUAUAAAAAUGACAGAACACACAAGAAACUUGGAAGUGCUUAAUAGCAUUACAUAUGUGAGAAUUAAUCUAAGUCCAGCAUAUAAUCGAAGGGUAGCAAAUAUAUGUUAUAUGAAUGCCCACGUAUGUUAUACGUGCAGCAUGGGGCUGCAGUGGUCGGUCUCUCUCGAUGCAGCUUCACUGAUUUAAUCAGGUCUUCAUCGGGUCUUUGCCUAAGUAUGUCCUCAUUUAAUUAAGGAGGGAUCAUCUCACCGAUUUAACCAGGUCUUCGUCGAGUCUUCGCCCACGUACGUACGUCCUCCUCUAAAUAAGGAGGGAUCAUCAUGCAUGCAAAGAGCAUGUCGUUGCGUCAUUGGUCUAUGUAGGUUCACCGAUUUAAUUAGGUCUUCAUCGGGUCUUUUUCCCAUUAAUUUCACCAUAUAUGUCUCUAUGGUAAACGGGCCAACUCUUUUCCUCCCCGUUAAUUCCGUCAUGGAUGUCUCUCACGAAUCUCAGAUCUUUCCUUUCCUUCCUUAGUAAGGAUAAACGAGCCCACUAGUUACCACCCCGCCCCCUCCUUAUUUGUAAUUCUCAAGAUGACUGGUUGACUUCAGCUUGCUAACGUAUAUAAAUUGGUAGUACUGCGUGUAAAUAAGCGAGGUGGUACUAUAUAAGAGAAGCGAAACAUGUUGCUCAAGGAUCCUCACAGGGAGCGCGAUAUGCAAGACAUGCUCGCGAAAUCUUUUAGUGACCCAAAUCCCACAUAUAUGGGAGGGACCCCAUGUGGAGACUUUCGCACACGACUACAUAGUGUAGUGUGCUAGUCUUUGGAAUACCGUUAGGAAACAACUUUUCACCAACACUAUGCCCAUCAGAAUAGUACUCUCUCCGUCCGAAAAUACUUGUCCUCGAAAUGGUUGUAUCUAGACUUAUUUUAGUUAUAGAUACAUCCAUCUUAUCUAUUUCUAGGACAAGUAUUUACGGACGGAGGGAGUACGAUGGUAGCAGUGAAUGGUCCAUUUGCAUUACAUAGUUACAUUACAUGCCAAGAUAGUACAAUCUUCCACUUACAAGAACUGAAGUAUAAGCUUUAUACAAGUGCUAACAAAACUUGUAAGAAAAAGCCCAACUGUAAGGUGAUAACCCUACAGCUAUCACUACCGGUCUAGGCUAGUCUUGCGGCUCAAUAACUCUAUCAUGGUGCACUAUGAUCAUGGGUCCACAUCUUCAUCUCCUUUGCAAUCAUGGUAGUCCUUCCCCUCCAGGUGGUAUCUUCUCCUUUGGUCCUUCUGGAACUCCGACAAGUUCAUAUUGACAUCUAUCAACCUAGGCCUAAUGGAGACAAGAUAUCAAGGGAAUACCUUGUAUAAGUCAAGUUUUUUUUACUUAAAUUCAAGUUUUAGCAGCUUCGCAGUUAGCAAUCCACCUUUGAGGUGCUUCCUCAACCUCCUCACUUUGAAUUAACAUCUCACAAUUGGUGUAUUGAUGUUGCAGGGGGCAUUCCAGUUUUUAUAAACUAUAUCCUUGAAACCCCCAAUUUGCAACCACCGCUUAUCAAAUCUAAAUUGCUUAUUUUUAUGUGGUAAGAUAGCACCGGUGUCAAUAACCAGGGGUGUACGAUCACUUCCAACCCUAGGCAUCGUUUUCAUUUGGACAACAGGGAAUAAAGUUUCCCACUAUGCAGAAAUAAAAACUCUGUUUCUGGUGGACAUGAUGAGGUUGUCCUAGUUAUUGGCCCAUGUAAAUCUCCUACCAACAUUCUUAUGUUUAAUAUAGUCAAACUUGUUAAUCCAAUCAUUGAACAAAUUAGCCCAAAGUUUUUACACCAUUAUUCUUGUCCCUAUGUUGCCUAACAUGGUUAAAAUCCCCCCCAACAUUAUGCAACUCAUUAAUAAUUCAAGUUUAUGUUCACCAUAAGGAGAACCACAACCAGAAAUAAACCCCCAAGUAGUUGAAUAUUACUUGCACUUAAUCAUCCAAGAAAUAAGAAAAGCAAAGCACUAAACACAAUAACCUCAAAACAUUAUUUUUAUGCCAACUAGGAUACGCUCAGCUGCGUAAUCACCAAGAAGCCAAUUCCGCUCAAAUUCACCAAGUUUAUCUAAUAUUUAGAUUCGAGAGUUAGAAAAAUCUACUUCUUAGUUUCAAGAAAACCAGUGAAUUAGGGUUUUUAUUUGUAAUGAGCUCAUUUUUAGGCUUAUUUAAGCCUCUGCCAUUCCAGAUUAGACCAACUACCAUUUUAAGCUGGUGGAUAGAGAUUUUCUACAACCUUUCCUUCCACUGGAUUCCACCCAAAAGUGGGGGUCAUCAUCACCAUUAAUGUGGGAUGUAGAGGAAGGCGCAACAACAUUAAAAAUAGAGCAAGACGUACUGACAAAUUCUUCACGGUGGAUAUCAAUAUCAGGUGGCAGAAACAUGUCAAGAUGAUCACUAUGAAACUUUUUGAGUCUACCGAGCUUAGUGGCCUUAGUUAUAUCCAUUUCCGACUAAUCUCAGCAAUGGAUUCACCUAACUUUGCAUGAUUCAAUUUUUUUAGCCAAAUCAAUUUUCAUUGACUUUUUAGAUGACGUUGACUUAUUAAUUUUUUGAUUGGGGGUUGUUGAUUUGUUAAAUAGGAAAGCCUAUUUUUCUCUGGACCGAACAGUGUCUGGCCCAGUAAACUCUGAUUCCGGCCCGCUCAGCAUUUAGGUGCAAGGCCUGUUAAGCCGCCCCGAAUCGAUACGCUCGCCGCGACCGUCAGAUCAUCCUAAAAUCUGACACCCAGACCCCACGCGUCAUCCCCAUCCUCCCCUCCGACUCUAGACUGAAUCACCUCCGCCGCGUCCGAUCCUAAAAUCUCCGCAAUUCGGCAGGAUUUAGGCCCCUCGGGUAAGAUUGCUCCCCUAUAAAUACAGAGCCAGAGAGUUCAUCAUCGAGCCAGGGAGCACUCGCCGGAGUCCACCAUCGCCGCCGCACCUCCAGUCAAGCACCGCGACGCGAGGAAGAUGUCAUCGAAGCCGCAGAGCACACCCCAAGAUCCACCGCCACCGGGAGAGCAUCGUCCGCCUCUCAAUCGGGACCAGAGAUCAACAGAGCGCCGACCCAAGCAAACCCUCGCGCGCUCUGAUCUACAACCACAUCAUCAUGUCGGUGGAGCGACCGUCGCCGUCCCUUUUGCCCUGAUACGUCUCCAACGUAUCUAUAAUUUUUGAUUGUUCCAUGCUAUUAUAUUAUCUGUUUUGGAUGUUUAAUGGGCUUUAAUUUACCUUUUUAUAUUAUUUUUGGGACUAACCUACUAACCAAAGGCCUAAUGAAAAUUGCUAUUUUUUUUGCCUAUUUCAGUGUUUCAUAAAAAAGGAAUAUCAAACAAAAUCUAAACGGAAUGAAACCUUCGGGAGAGUUAUUUUUGGAACAAACAUGAUCCAGGAGACUUGGAGUGGACGUGAAGAAAGAAGCGAGGAGGCCAUGAGGCAGGAGGGCGCGCCCAGGGGGGUAGGCGCGCCCCACCCUCAUGGGCCCCUCGCAGCUCCACCGAUGUACUUCUUCCUCCUAUGUAUACCCAUAUACCCCAAAAACAUCCAGGAGCACCACGGAACCCUAUUCCCACUGCCGCAACCUUCUGUACCCGUGAGAUCCCAUCUUGGGGCCUUUUCCGGCGCUCCGCCAGAGGGGGGAUCGAUCACGGAGGGCUUCUACAUCAACACCAUAGCCUUUCCGAUGAUGUGUGAGUAGUUUACCACAGACCUUCGGGUCCAUAGUUAUUAGCUAGAUGGCUUCUUCUCUCUCUUUGGAUCUCAAUACAAAGUUCUCCUCGAUUCUCUUGGAGAUCUAUUCGAUGUAAUUCUUUUUGCGGUGUGCAUGUCGAGAUCCGAUGAAUUGUGAGUUUAUGAUCAAGAUUAUCUAUGAACAAUAUUUGAUUCUUCUCUGGAAUAUUUUAUGCAUGAUUUAGUAUCUUUGCAAGUCUCUUCGAAUUAUUAGUUUGGUUUGGACUACUAGAUUGAUCUUUCUUGCAAUGGGAGAAGUGCUUAGCUUUGGGUUCAAUCUUGCGGUGUCCUUUCCCAGUGACAGCAGGGGCAGCAAGGCACGUAUUGUAUUGUUGCCAUCGAGGAUAAAAAGAUGGGGUUUAUAUCAUAUUGCUUAACUUUAUACCUCUACAUCAUGUCAUCUUGCCUAAUGCGUUACUCUGUUCUUAUGAACUUAAUACUCUAAAUACAUGCUGGAUAGCGGUCGAUGUGUGGAGUAAUAAUAGUAGAUGCAGAAUCGUUUCAGUCUACUUGUCGCGGACGUGAUGCCUAUAUACAUGAUCAUGCCUAGAUAUUCUCAUAAGUACUCGCUUUUCUAUAAUGCAAAAUUUCUUGGGUAGCCAUACUUUUGAUUCUUAUAAUGCUAUGAUAGAUUUGUUUGGCUGACCACCUCUCUUGGUUAAUGGAACUAUUUUAACUUUGGAACAUGUGAUGCAAAGGCUUGAAAUUAUUAAAAAUAAAGUUGCCACUUUAGAGUUGAUUGAGAAUUUGGAUAAAAAGAUCCGCAACCAGAUUACCCAAUAUGGAUCUAUGGUAGGAGUUACUCUGAUUUUUUUAAAAUAAAAAUAACCCAUAGUCAAUGAAAAAAUAGAUCAAGAUUCCACAGGAAUUGAUAAACUUGAGGAUAUUAUUACCAACUUAGGGUCUGCCUUUUCUUCCGUGAAAAAUACUCCAAAUCCUCCCACUACUAGAGUUGCCAAGUUUAUGUAUGUGCCUAAAAAUAAAAAGGGUGAAUCUUCUAGUAAGGAAAAUGCGGAUCUUAAAGUAAUAAGCGUUCACCCCAACUUUUUCACUAUCAUUAAGGAACCUUUUGCUACAAUUGAUUUUCUUGAUUUCUUGCCUAGGAGUUUGAUCAUUAAUAAAAAGAAGGAAACUCCUAAGGGUUAUAAGUGUUCUAUUGAAGAAUUGCCUACCAAAGAUGAUAAUACCUAGAUCUAUUCUUAUUUUUAUACCUAGCUAGGGGCGUUAAACGAUAGCGCUUGUUGGGAGGUGAUACGUCUCCAACGUAUCUAUAAUUUUUGAUUGUUCCACGCUAUUAUAUUAUCUGUUUUGGAUGUUUAAUGGGCUUUAAUUUACACUUUUACAUUAUUUUUGCGAUAAACCUACUAACCAAAGGCCCAGUGCAAAUUGCUGUUUUUUUUGCCUAUUUCAGUGUUUCGCAGGAAAGCAAUAUCAAACGGAAUCCAAACGGAAUGAAACCUUUGGGAGAGUUAUUUUUGGAACAAACGUGAUCCAGGAGACUUGGAGUGGCCGUCAAGAAAGAAGCAAGGAGGCCACGAGGCAGGGGGGCGCGCCCAAGGGGGCAGGCGUGCCUCCCACCCUCAUGGGACCAUCGCAGCUCCACUGGCGUACUUCUUCCUCCUAUAUAUACCCAUAUACCCCGAAAACAUCCAGGAGCACCACGAAACACUAUUUCCACCGCCGCAACCUUCUAUACCCAUGAGAUCCCAUCUUGGGGCCUUUUCCGGAGCUCCGCCGGAGGGGGAAUCAAUCACGGAGGGCUUCUACAUCAACACCAUAGCCUCUCCGAUGAUGUGUGAGUAAUUUACCACAGACCUUCGGGUCCAUAGUUAUUAGCUAGAUGGCUUCUUCUCUCUCUUUGGAUCUCAAUACAAAGUUCUCCUCGAUCUUCUUGGAGAUCUAUUCGAUGUAAUUCUUUUUGUGGUGUGUUUGUCGAGAUCCGAUGACUUGUGGGUUUAUGAUCAAGUUUAUGUAUGAACAAUAUUUGAUUCUUCUCUGAAAUAUUUUAUGUAUGAUUGGUUAUCUUUGAAAGUCUAUUCAAAUUAUCAGUUUGGUUUGGCCUACUAGAUUGAUCUUUCUUGCAAUGGGAGAAGUGCUUAGCUUUGGGUUCAAUCUUGCGAUGUCCUUUCCCAGUGACAGCAGGGGCAGCAAGGCACGUAUUGUAUUGUUGCCACCGAGGAUAAAAAGAUGGGGUUUAUAUCAUAUUGCUUGAGUUUAUCCCUCUACAUCAUGUCAUCUUGCCUAAUGCGUUACUCUGUUCUUAUGAACUUAAUACUCUAGAUGCAUGCUGGAUAGCAGUCGAUGUGUGGAGUAAUAGUAGUAGAUGUGGAAUCGUUUCGGUCUACUUGUUGCGGACGUGAUGCCUAUAUACAUGAUCAUGCAUAGAUAUUCUCAUAACUAUGCACUUUUCUAUCAAUUGCUCGACAGUAAUUUGUUCACCCACCGUAAUACUUAUGCUAUCUUGAGAGAAGCCACUAGUGAAAGCUAUGGCCCUCGGGUCUAUCUUCCAUCAUAUUAUUUUCAUAUCCACUUGCUAUUUCUAUUUUUUGCAAUUUUUAUUUUCCAAUCUAUAUCAUAAAAAUACCAAAAAAAUUAUCUUAUUAUCUCUAUCAGAUCUCACUCUCGUAAGUGACUGUGAAGGGAUUGACAACCCCUUUAUCAUGUUGGUUGCGAGGUUCUUGUUUGUUUGUGCAGGUACUAGGUGACCUGUGUGUUAGCUCCUACUGGAUUCAUACCUUGGUUCUCAAAAACCGAGGGAAAUACUUACGCUACUGUGCUGCAUCACCCUUUCCUCUUCAAGGGAAAACCAACGCAUGCUCAAGAGGUAGCAAGAAGGAUUUCAGGCGCCGUUGCCGGGGAGGUUGCAUCAAGUCAAGACAUACCAAGUACCCAUCACAAACUCUUAUCCCUCGCAUUACAUUAUUUGCCUUUUGCCUCUCGUUUUCCUCUCCCCCACUUCACCCUUGCCGUUUUAUUCGCCCUCUUUUCCAUUCGCCUCUUUUUGCUUGCCUCUUGCUUGCUUGUGUGUUGGAUUGUUUGCCGCGAUGGCUUUACCAAAAAGUGUUGAUCCUCAGCUUAGAAGGUUGGAAGAAAUUGAAAACAAUGUUAGAAGUUUUAUGUCCUUGUAGUUUGAGCAUAAUAAUUUCUUCAGAAACGAGCUUAAAGAACAAAAAAGUUUUAUGGGGUACAUGAAUAAAGAGCUCGAUGAUAUGUCUAAAGAAUUUUAUGGUUUGAAAUCUCAGUUCGCUCAUCUUGAAAAAUUAAUAGCCCAAAUUUCGGAUAAGCAGGUCACCUUAGUUAAUAAGAUGGCCGCCAAACCAGAAGAACUAGACGAUAAUAAGGAUGGAGAUCUAAAAGUGAUUGAUGUGUCUCCUAUUAAAUCUUUGUUUUGCAAUAUGAAUCUUGAUAAUGAUGGGACUGAAGAUGAGUCAACUUUAGUUAAAAGGCGUCCCAAUGAUUCGGAGUUUUUAGAUCUUGAUGCAAAAAUUGGUAAAAUUAGGAUUGAAGAGGUCAAAACUUUACAUAACAACGAACCCACUAUUUUGGAUUUCAAGGAAUUUAAUUAUGAUAAUUGUUCUUUAAUAGAUUGUAUUUCCUUGUUGCAAUCCGUGUUAAAUUCUCCUCAUGCUUAUAGUCAAAAUAAAGCUUUUACCAAACAUAUUGUUGAUGCUUUAAUGCAAUAUUAUGAAGAAAAGCUUGAAUUAGAAGUUUCUAUCCCUAGAAAACUUUAUGAUGAGUGGGAAACUACUAUUAAAAUUAAGAUUAAAGAUCAUGAAUGCUUUGCUUUAUGUGAUUUGGGUGCUAGUGUUUCCACGAUUCCAAAAACUUUGUGUGAUGUGUUAGGUUUCCGUGAAUUUGAUGAUUAUUCCUUAAACUUGCAUCUUGUGGAUUCCGCUAUUAAGAAACCCAUGGGAAGGAUUAAUGAUGUUCUUAUUGUUGCAAAUAGGAAUUAUGUGCCCGUAGAUUUCAUUGUUCUUGACAUAGAUUGCAAUCCCACAUGUCCUAUUAUUCUUGGUAGACCUUUCCUUAGAACGAUUGGUGCAAUUAUUGAUAAGAAAUAAGUAAACAUUAGAUUCCAAUUUCCGUUAAGGAAAGGCAUGGAACACUUUCCUAGAUUAUGGAUUGCAUACCAAAGAUGACAAUACCUAGAUCUAUUCUUGUUUUUAUGCCUAGCUAGGGGUGUUAAACGAUAGCGCUUGUUGGGAGGCAACCCAAUUUUAUUUUUGUUUCUUGCUUUUUGGUUCUAUUUAGUAAUAAAUAAUUCAUCUAGCUUCUGUUUAGAUGUGGUUUUAUGCUUUUAAUUAGUGUUUGUGCCAAGUAGAAUCUUUGGGAAGACGUGGGGGGAGUUUUUGCAAUCUUGCUGUAAAAACAGAAACUUUAGCGCUCACGAGAUUUGCUGCCAUUUUUUUACUGGAGAGUGAGAUUAGGUUGAUUAUUUUUGCAGAUGAUUAAUAGACAAAUUCGUCACAUCCACCAAUUUAUUUCAGAAUUUUUGGGGUUACAUAAGUAUACAAAACCUACAGAUUACUACAGACUGUUCUGUUUUUGACAGAUUCUGUUUUUCGUGUGUUGUUUGCUUAUUUUGAUGAAUCUAUGGCUAGUAUCGGGGGGUAUGAACCAUGGAGAAUUUGGAAUACAGUAGGUUUAACACCAAUAUAAAUAAAGAAUGAGUUCAUUACAGUACCUUGAAGUGGUGGUUUGUUUUCUUAUACUAACGGAGUUCAUGAGAUUUUCUGUUGAAGUUUUGUGUUGUGAAGUUUUCAAGUUUUGGGUAAAGAUUUGAUGGAUUUUGGAACAAGGAGUGGCAAGAGCCUAAGCUUUGGGAGGCCCAAGGAACCCCAAGGUAAAAUUAAAGGACAACCAAAAGCCUAAGCUUGGGGAUGCCCCGGAAGGCAUCCCCUCUUUCGUCUUCGUCCAUCGGUAACUUUAGUUGAUGCUAUAUUUUUAUUCACCACAUGAUAUGUGUUUUGCUUGGAGCGUCUUGUAUGAUUUGAGUCUUUUCUUUUUAGUUUACCACAAUCAUCCUUGCUAUACACACCUUUUGGGAGAUACACACAUGAAUUGUAAUUUAUUAGAAUACUCUAUGUGCUUCACUUAUAUCUUUUGAGCUAGAUAAUUUUGCUCUAGUGCUUCACUUAUAUCUUUUUAGAGCACGGUGGUGGUUUUAUUUUAUAGAAAUUAUUGAUCUCUCAUGAUUCACUUAUAUUAUUUUUAGAUUCCUUUAUAACAGCAUGGUAAUUUGCUUUGGUUAUAAAAUUAGUCCUAAUAUGAUAGGCAUCCAGGAUGGGUAUAAUAAAAACUAUCAUAAAAGUGCAUUUAAUACUAUGAGAAGUUUGAUACUUGAUGAUUGUUUUGAGAUAUGAAGAUGGUGAUAUUAGAGUCAUGCUAGUUAAGUAGUUGUGAAUUUGAGAAAUACUUGUGUUAAAGUUUGUGAUUCCCAUAGCAUGCACGUAUGGUGAACCGUUAUGUGAUGAAGUCGGAGCAUGAUUUAUUUAUUGAUUGUCUUCCUUAUGGGUGGCGGUCGGGGACGAGCGAUGGUCUUUUCCUACCAAUCUAUCCCCCUAGGAGCAUGCGCGUAGUACUUUGUUUUGAUAACUAAUAGAUUUUUGCAAUAAGUAUGUGAUUUCUUUAUGACUAAUGUUGAGUCCAUGGAUUAUACACACUCUCACCCUUCCACCAUUGUUAGCCUCUCUAGUACCGCGCAACUUUUGUCGGCACCAUAAACCCACCAUAUACUUUCCUCAAAACAGCCACCAUACCUACCUAUUAUGGCAUUUCCAUAGCCAUUCCGAGAUAUAUUGCCAUGCAACUUACCACCGUUCCGUUUAUUAUGACACGCUUCAUCAUUGUCAUAUUGCUUUGCAUGAUCAUGUAGUUGACAUCGUAUUUGUGGCAAAGCCACGUUCAUAAUUCUUUCAUGCAUGUCACUCUUGAUUCAUUGCACAUCCCGGUACGCCGCCGAAGGCAUUCACAUACAUGUCACUCUUGAUUCAUAUUUUGUUCUAGUAUCGAGUUGUAAUUUUUGAGUUGUAAGUAAAUAAAAGUGUGAUGAUCAUCAUUAUUAGAGCAUUGUCCCAAGUGAGGAAAGGAUGAUGGAGACUAUGAUUCCCCCACAAGUCGGGAUGAGACUCCGGACGAAAAAGAAAAAAAGAAAAAAAGAAAAAAAGAGGCGAUAAAAAAGGAGAAGGCCCAAAUAAAAAAAUGAGAGAAAAAGAGAGAAGGGACAAUGUUACUAUCCUUUUACCACACUUGUGCUUCAAAGUAGCACCAUGAUCUUCAUCAUAGAUAGUCUCCUAUGUAGUCACUUUCAUAUACUAGUGGGAAUCUUUGAUUAUACAACUUGGCUUGUGUAUUCCAAUGACGGUCUUCCUCAAAAUGCCCUAGGUCUUCAUGAGCAAGCAAGUUGGAUGCACACCCACUUAGUUUAUUUUUGAGCUUUCAUACACUUAUAGCUCUAGUGCAUCCGUUGCAUGGCAAUUCCUACUCACUCACAUUGAUAUCUAUUGAUGGGCAUCUCUAUAGCUCGUUGAUACGCCUAGUUGGUGUGAUACUAUCUUCUCCUUUUUGUCUUCUCCACAACCACCAUUCUAUUCCACAUGUAGUGCUAUGUCCAUGGCUCAUGCUCAUAUAUUGCCUGAAGAUUGAAAAAGUUUGAGAACACCAAAAGUAUGAAACAAUUGCUUGGCUUGUCAUCGGGGUUGUGCAUGAUUUAAAUACUCUGUGUGGUGAAGAUAGAGCAUAGCCAGACUAUAUGAUUUUGUAGGGAUAACUUUCUUUGGCCAUGUUAUUUUGAGAAGACAUGAUUGCUUUAUUAGUAUGAUUGAAGUAUUAUUAUUUUUAUGUCAAUAUUAAACUUUUGUCUUGAAUCUUUCGGAUCUGAACAAUCAUGCCACAAUAAAGAAAAUUACAUCGAGAAUUAUGCUAGGUAGCAUUCCACAUCAAACAAUUCUAUUUUUAUCAUUUACCUUCUCGAGGACGAGCAGGAAUUAAGCUUGGGGAUGCUUGAUACGUUUCCAACGUAUCUAUACUUUUUUAUUGUUCCAUGCUAUUAUAUUAUCUGUUUUGGAUGUUUAAUGGGCUUUAAUUUACACUUUUAUAUUAUUUUUGGGACUAACCUACUAACCAAAGGCCCAAUGCAAAUUGUUUUUUUGCCUAUUUCAGUGUUUCGCAGAAAAGGAAUAUCGAAAUGAAACCUUCGGGAGAGUUAUUUUUGGAACAAACGUGAUCCAGGAGACUUGGAGUAGCCGUCAAGAAAGAAGCGAGGAGGCCACGAGGCAGGGGGGUGCGCCCCCCACCCUUGUGGGCCCCUCGCAGCUCCACUAACGUACUUCUUCCUCCUAUAUAUACCCAUAUACCCCGAAAACAUUCAGGAGCACCACAAAAAAAUACACUUCCGUGAUGAUACGUGUUUGUCACAGUAGGUCGCUUUUUUUGUCAUGCAUGUACAUCCAUGACAAAUUUAUGACAGAAUCAAGAUAGUCAUACCUGUGCUGUCGUAGAAGUGUUCCAUGACAUUACCAAAAUUAUCAUCACGGAAGUGUCCACUUCCAUGACGAUAAAUCACGCGUCACAGAAGAGCUUUCGUCAAGGGUGACCGACACGUGGCAUCCACUGUGACGGAAUGCCGUUAAGCUAUCAGGUCGGGUUUUGGAUCCGAUAACCCAUUAACAGCCCCGACCAACGGGGAUUUUCCAUGUGCAAAAUCAUCAUUGGCUGGAGGAAACACAUGUCGGCUCAUCGUUGGGACAGAUGUCAACCACUCAUUGGACGGAAGGCGCCUAUGAUACGUCGACAUGUGGCACGGCCCAACAGAGGCCCAUUCUUGUGAAAAGGCCAGCCCAUUUGACUUGGUCAAAAGCUGGCGGGCCGGCCCAUGGAAAGCCUGUUAACGGCCUGUUCGAAUAUAGCCCAUUUACAGCCCGCUAACCCAAGGCCCGUUACGCCCUAUCUGAAUUAGGCCCAGUAGCGUCAUCUGGGCCAUCCAAUAUGAUUCCAGCCUGUUUUCACUUCUGGCCCAUGUAUGGCCCAUGAUGUCUUUCGGCCCAUAUGAGGCCCUAUGUAACUCUUGGCCUACUAACGGCCCGUGGUGAAACUAGCCCGUAAUGAACAGUGUAUCACUUUACACCCAUUAACGGCCCGUGGUGAAACUGACCCGUAAUGAACAGUGUAUUACUUUAUACCCAUUAACGGCCCGUUAUUCCGUUGGGCCGUUUCCAGCCCAUGUUAUCUUUCGGCCUUCUCAGAGCUCAUUUAUUCUUGGGCUCAUUUCCAGCAUUCGUUUACUUAUGACCCGUUACUGUCAUUUUCUUCUUAUGGGCCAAAUUCAGCCCGUGGUUACAGUCGGCCCAUUUUGUGGUCCAUUAAUACGUUGGGCCGAUUUCAUAGCGUCAUCAAAUACGGCCUAUUAACGAUGACCCGCUAUGGUCGGCCCAUGAACGGACAAUUUCAACUCUAGCCCGUUUACGGCCAUAAUGCGGUCUAUUUGGCCCAUGUUUGGCCAAUCGAUUAUACGGCCCGUAUAAGGCCCAUUGAUAAUACGGCCCGCAGAAGGCCCAUUGUUUCUACGGCCCGUAGAAGGCCCACUGUUUCUACGGCCAGUAGGAGGCCCAGUGUCACUACAGUAAAUAUUAGCCCAUGGUUAUUGUGGCCUAGUUUUAAAAAAUAGGUUAUUGCAGCCACUAGCUAACCGCGAAAAAAGAACUGCAAUGACUACAAGCAAACAAAUAAACAAGACAAUAAGGAAAUAAAUAAGCAAGCAACUAACGCUAGGCUAUCACGGCUAUUGCACAUAAUACAUCCGCUGGGCAUCAAAGUUCGCCACCAGUGCAAAUAUAGGGAACAAAGCAGCAUAUCAUAUACACUGGUUGUCAAAGUUGGCGACCAGCGCAAAUAAAUGCCGCAGCAAAACAAAUCCAGAACUGAAACCACUUCAGAAGAUCUCAAGAAACAAUAUCCUGGGUACCCAUAAUGCUGGCAAGAUGCUUAGCAAGCUUAUUAACUUUCUCUUGUUUGGUGCUUAAAUCCUCCAGCGCUUGCUAUUGCACCAGAAAAUAUGCAUCUAAAUUCUGCAGGGACUUCCUCAGUCCUUCAACUUCCUGUCGCAGCACAUCUGAUCGAUGUCUUUGAACUUGAAGUUGAGACUCAAGAAGACGAACUGAUUCAGGUAGCGAGUUCGAAGAGCUUGUGCCAGCAGUAGUGGCCAGUAACUCGAACACUACAUCAAGACAGGAAUUUUGGGUUCCUUCACUGUCGUCAAGAUAGUUUUUAUCAGCUUUCUUGGAGACCAACAGGGAUGUCUCACUAUCUUGAACCUUAUCUGCAUUAGUUCCUUUACCAUUGGAUAACGCGGUACUGUUCUCCAAUAUUUUGUCCGCAUUCUAAAAGAGAAACAAGCAGACACAUCACAUGUUUACCAUGUUGUAUAUGAAACUCAUUUUGGUAAAUGAGUUCAGUAGUAAAGUGGACAGGAUAACAACAUGAAACAAACAUAUAUCUAUGUACCAUGGUCACUUUAUGGUCCAUAUCAUUCUAGUUUUUGUUGCCAAAUCAAGAUAGAGACACAGUUCAAAUAAUAUUUGUUCAAGACAAAGCAGAAUAGACAGAAUAUAAGUGUGGGUAACUAUAGAGCAAUAACAACACUUGUAAUGUCCAUGACAUGAGAACACAACUGUUUAUUCAAUUGAAACUGAAAUCAACAUAGAGCAGGUUACAACAACAAACCUGUUAAAGAAACAUGUUUAAAACAUACCUGUUGCGCCAUUGGAGUUUCAAUUCCAUCCUUCAAAUUUGAAAAUAGUUGGUAUGAGUAAAUACAGUCAUGCAAGAGCAAAGGAGUAUGAACCAUAGCUACAGAACCUGACCUGAGAACGAAUCUUCUUCUCCUUUAAGCAUUGAGUUGGGAUUCAGAGUGGUGGUCCUCGUGCUUUGGGCACUGCAGUUCCAUUACUAACUGAUCGUGUUUGGGUGCUCUGUGGUGGAGACGGUGCUAUGUCAACUGGAACUGGGUUACUAUCUGCCGGGGUUGGGGUUAGAAGGGGUGUAGCUGGUUCUCUGUCCAACUGGGUAGGGGUACAAUCUGUGAGAGUUUGGGUUAUGUGUGGUAGAUCUGGUCCUUGGGCAAGUACAACUGUGGUUCUAUCUGCAUCAACUAGUAGCACUAUCUUUUCUGAAGACCGUGUUGUUACCCCCUUAGAUACUGCCAUCACGCUCUCCAAUUCAAAUGGCCGAUAAACAAGAAAAGUAAUUGAAAGUACAGACAUUGUAUGAUAGACAGGUGCGAUGGAUAGUGGGGAAUAAAAGAGGGCAUGAAAUAAUUCAUAUUUAUGUUGUCUAACCAAACAGGAUAGCAUGACACAAUUUCACAUAUAUGAUGGCUAACUAAACAGGAUAGCAUGACACAAUUUCACAUUAUGAUGGCUAACUAAAAAAGAUGGAAAGACAUAGUUCAAAAUAUGAGACUAUGUAAAUAGGAUGACAUGACAUAACUAUAUAAUGUGUUUAUUAAAUAGGUUGGCUUGCCAUAAUUCACAUACAUUCACGGAUAUAAUGCCAUAAUUCAAAAUAUGAUGAUUGUAAACACUAAACAGGAUGAGAUGAUAUAACUAUAUGAUGUCUUUAUUAAAUGGGUUGCCAUGCCAUAAUUCAGAUAGAUGAUGUGUAUGUACUAUGUAAACAUGAUGGCAUGAUAUAAUUCAAAUAUAUGAUUUAUAUAGUAAGCAAGUAAGCAAAUGACAAUCCAUAUAUGAUGUAAAAACUAAGCAAUGCAAGACAACAUGCAUGACAUGGGUAAUAUAACCCUGCCAAGUUUGAGGAUAGACCUCAGGGGGAAAAUAGGACUGGUCAUCAGUCUCUGAAUCCUCCUCUGAGGAGCUCUCUAUAACCAGCAAGAUGUCUGCUUCAGCAGGUAGCAUUGUCUGCUCUGAAUACCUUGUUUUCACUCUAGAUACUUCCAUCACCGCUUCAAAUGGCUGAUGCACAGGAAGAGUAGUUGAAUAUACAAAUGUUGUCACCAAAUGGAACACGUAAUACAAAAAAAAUGAUAGUACAUGAUGAUUGGCUAAACAACAUGGCAUUGCAUAAUUCACAUAUAUAAUGCCUUUGCAAUAAGAUAGCAUUGUAUAAUUCACAUAUAUAAUGUCUUGCAACAAGAUGGCAAUGCAUAAUUCACAUAUAUGGUAAUUAGACACUGAACAGGUGGCAUUCACACAAAGCAUGUCUAAACUAAUCAAAUAACAUAGCAAUGCGAGACACCAUACACACGAUAUGAGCAACAUAACCCUGCCAAGUUAGAGCAUACACCUCGGGGGGGGGGGAUAGGAAUGGUCAUCUGUCUCUAAAUCCUCCUCCAAGGAGCUAUCCGUAACCAGCGAGAUAUGCGCUUCGUCAGAUAGCAUAGUCUGCUCUGAAGACCUUGUUUUCACUCCAGAAUUUGCCAUCACCGUGUCAAAUGGCUGAUGCACAUGAAGAGCAGUUGAAUGUAAUAACAUUGUUGACAAAUGUAAUAUGUAACAGAAAAAAGGAUGGCCUGAUAUAAUUUACAUAUAAGAUGACUGGCUAAGCAGGAUGGCAUUGCAAAAUUCACAUAUAUGAUGCCUGGCUAAACAAGAUGGCGUUGCAUAAUUCACAUAAACGAUGAAUAAACUAAAUAGAUGGCAUUCACACAAAGGAUGUCUAAACUAAGCAGAUGACAUAUUUGAUGUAUAAAGUAAGAAAUGCAAGACACCAUAUGCAUGAUAUAACCAACAUCAGCAUGCCAAGUUAGAGCGAAGACCUCAGGGGGUAAAUAGGAGUUGUCUUCUCCUUCUGAAUCCCCCUCAGAACAGAUAUCUUCCUCUCGAUUACAAUCCGAAAUGCGUGGAGGGGGGCUGCCUUUGCGCCUACCAUGGAGCGCUGUCUGCAUGAAAUUUUAUUGCCACACAAGGCUCGUCUCUUUUGCUCUACAUGUUCAGUUCCAUUGUUUACAAUAACUGUCAUGCAUAGGAAUAAAACAUAGUGAGAUUAUGUAAGGAGUGCAUGCAGAAAUCCAGAGUGAUGGUAGCAACCUGUGGAUAGACCCAAAACCAAUAAUAGCAGGCAGAUAAUGGCUUCAGUUAAAAAAUACAGAUAAUGGCUUCUUUACUGUUUGUUUCCCACCCAACAUGAAACUCAUAGUAGACACCGGAGAUUAACCAGAUAGUAGAUAGACACUAUUGAUAGCGGCCCCGAUAUGUACCCCACAACCAUUUAAAAACUCAAGUUUGACCAUUAGUUUGGAGUUGACUCAGAGUCUAAUCGGUGAACAGGACAAUAAAGUAGCAUGUAAUAUUAAGCGAUGCAUAAUGUAAGCAGACACGAAAGAGUGCGACCUCUCUUACGGACCCGUGUAGUCCUCGAGGUCAUCUGCUCGGUUGAUGAUGGUAGUGCAGUUUUCAUGGCUGCCAGCGGCGGGGAAGAAGAUCUGAGGCGGCGAAAGACAGUCUGGAGGCCAGAUCCCUGCUGUGCUAGACCCUUCUGUCAUUGGAGCAGCUGAGCUGGGGUGGACGACAGCGCAGCAGGAGCGGGACAAACCACGCAAGGUUUUCUUUGACAACUAUCUGUAAGAGAAGUAAUUCUGUAAGGGCUCGUUUGAAUUGGAGGAUUCUAACAAUGCAGGGAUAGGAAAUAGACAGGAAUAGGAUAGGAAUGCACGUGCAAAAUAGAGAGUAUAAAAACACGGGAUUUCUGCCAAUCUGGGUGUUUGAUUCACAACAAUUGGAAGAUCACAGGAUGCAAAGAAGCAUGGUGAGAUUAAGUCAAACCACAAGAAAAUGUACGGUUAUAAUGUAUUAUGCUACUAUCUCUUAGUCUUGUGCUUCAUGAAUAGGAAUUUGAAAAGGAGGACAAGUGAAAAUUAAAAUUCCUACGUUUUUUCUUUCAAGGAGACACUAAAGGAACAAAUCCGUGUGCUCAGUGGACAAUAUAUAUAACAUGUAGAGUAAAAAAGAGAUGCAACAAGUGUACAACCUCUUUGGCGAAGCCAUGUCGAUCUCAGCGUGAUUGGGUUGGCCGGUGAGGAUGCUCCGGCUGACUUGGCUGUCGGAGGAGGGGAAGAAGAUCUUAGGCGUCUGGAGAUGGAGCCCGAGGUACUGCUCCGCUGUGAUGGAGGGUUUCGUCGUUGGAGCAGCUCCGGUGAGUUGUACGACGCUGAGGCUGAAGCAGGACAAGAGAGACAACGAACAAUGUUAACCUAAGUGGAAUUCUAAUAGCAUAUCCAAUACAUGACGUAAAAUACAUAACCACAAAGUGCUAGAUGUAAAAUACAUCAGCCGCUCAUCUCUAAACUUAACUGUCAAAACUGAAUUUAACUGUCGAACCCGAACUUAACUGCCAAAACUGAACUUAACUGUCGAAACUGAAUUUUGCUGUCGAAACUAAAUUUUGCUGUCAAAACUGAACGCACUAGCAAGGUGAGGCUACACGUCGGUCGGCUGACUUUUUCAUCUCUGGUCAGUCGAUUUUGCAGCCGUUGGAUACAAAAUCAAGGGCCUGCGGUUCAUCUUCAACCUCCACCCCCCUGAGCCGGCCAAAUAGCAGCCCCCCGCCGCCCGCGGCCGGCGGUGCGCCGCCCUGCCCGCCCCGAAAACACUCCCCACCGCCGGUCCGCCGCGGCCCCGGCCAUCCCUCUAGGCCCCCCGUGCCGAGCUUUUUCUCCGGAGAUCCCCACGCCACCGCCCCGCCAACGCCCCGCCACCGCCGGCGAUCACCGCCCCCAUCCUGAACCUUAAGAUAAAUAGUGGGGUACCUCUCCGGUGAGCCCCCCUCCCUACUGUGGCUGGUUCUUCCUUCACCCCGGCGGCAUCAGAGUGAAGUGUAGCUAAAUCGGAGCAGCAUCGCAAGCAAGAGCAAGAGCGGGAGCAGCAGUGCGAGCAAGAGCAAUAGCAAGAGCAGACCAGGUAGGGGACCGAGAGCAAGAGCAGAGCAGCAGCGCGAGCGAGAGCUAAAGUAGCAGCAGGUCCUACUGAUGUGGACGUCGCCGCUGAGGGAGCGACGCCAUGGAGGAAGUGGCCGGCGACGCCGCCGUGGAUGGAGCCGCGCCGUGUCGGCUCGGGACCGAGCGCCGGCAGCACCGUGAGAUCGAAUCAAGAAGAAAAUGCGAUGAUUAGUGUACAACCUCUUUGGUGGCGCCGAUUAGGCCACAACUUCAUCCGAGGAAACGGUGAUGAUGAUGCUCUUCCGGUGGUGCAGGUGAAGACGGCGGUGUGGGAAUGGAGGUGGCACGAAAGACGAGGGGAAUGUCGGGGCAGCUCCUUGGAGGUGGAGGAUGGGGUGGCUGAACCGGCGGGACGAUGAGAUCAACGAUGAAUCCUCAUCCAGUACGAUGGAGAGGGAUGUCGAGGUGUUGCUGUGGACGACGUCAUCAGGGAAGAGGCUCCGGCUGGGUGGCGGACGGAGCAGGGUGUGGGGUUUCGUCGCGGGUUUUCGCGGCCUCGGUGUACGAAUGGGUGGGCGGAUGGGAUGGUAGUGGGGAGCCAUGGCUUAGAGACGCGCUUGUACGAAAUGUGGGGUAAGUUACGAAAGUACCCCCACCGAUUUGAGGUGGUUCUUUCUGUUCAGGGGUACCACAAGCAUUUCACGUGUCGGGAUUUCACAAGAGGUGGGAGUUUUUGCGCGCGUUGUAAUUUCGGAAUAGCAAGGCGUGGGUUGAGAUGGAGGGAGUUGUCAGAGCACAACGAGACAAAGAUAUAUCUUAAAUAUUUCGGGCUAACAAGGCGCUGGUUGAAAUUUCCGGACAAGCCUAAUGUGUACUGUACCAAAUCAAUGCGCCCUACAAAUGUCAUUCAAAACUUUGAAUUCAUGUUAUGUUCAAUUAAAAUAUUUCGCUACGUGUAUAAUGCAUGCAACCUACUACUCAAAUGAACGUUUUAGUGCAUUCCAAACGUAUAUACUACCGCUUCAAUAUGAACUAAAUUUGAAUUCGUUUCUCUAUUUGAAUAAGAUCUACAGUAAUGAUUGUUGUGAAGUCAAAGCAUUUGAAUUCGUUUCUCUGUUUUAAUAAGAUCUACAAUCAUCAUUAUUGUCAAGUUAAACCAUCGUUUGUGUAUUAUCUUCACAACACACCACAUGAUUAGUCUCGAGUUACAUAUGAACUAUGUGUAUUAUAUGAACUCGAACUAGAUUUUUUGAAUCCACUUUAUUUUGAUUUCAAAUCACAUUACAUUUCUAGCUCUAGCUAGAUCUUCAUAAUCUAAACCAUGUCUCAUAUGUAUAAUGUGUUUAUUACAUUAUGUAUGGUGCCCCGCCCCCUAUGCCUACAAGUAUUUAGAUGUGAGUUGCAAACACCACACAUUACCACGAAUUCAAAUAAAAUGUGAGAAUGUUCGAUAUAUAGUAUUAUUUAGAUUGUUCGAUAUUUAGUUGUAAGAUGCAAGCGCCACACAUUAUCACAAAUUCAAAUGAAAUGUGAGAUUGUUUGAUGUAUAGUAUGGUUUAGAUUGUUUGGCAUUUAGCUGUGAGUUGCAAACACCAUGCAUUAUCACAUUAUGGUAUAACAUGUGCACAACACAUGUAUCACCGCUAUAUUCAUGCAUGCAAUGUUUAAAACACUAUGAUCUCCUAUUCAAAUAUAUGAAUCCGCUUUCAUAUCAAAUUAUGAUCUUUGUUAGUCUCUUACACCCACACAAUCCUCUAACCUUUGUAGCUACCACUAACUUUCUCUGUUGCAUGCACACGCCCUCCUCGCCCUCCCCCUCCCUCGGCAUUCUAUCCACCGGGCACAUUCAUUUUUUUCUUUAGGUCGUUCUCCCAGAGUCUCCACAACCCCUUUCCGACACACACCGAUCGAUAAACCUCUCCAGCGAUGCCUGCCUACAACAUACAAACACACCUUCAAUCUCCUCCUUUAUGUGUCCUUGCCUCGUGUCUCUCAUACGGUCAGACACACGUGUAAACUCUCGCCCCUCUUUUCAUCGCUCUCACAACCGCACACUCCUCCCCCUAUCUAGCUAGUAGUUGGGCCUCUCGCACCACCUCCUAGCUCCAUUCUCUCUGUCUAUCCGUCUCGCUGGGCCUUAUUUGCCUCUAACAAAUGGACGUACACCGACCGAUCUCUCGCUAUACAUAUAGCUAGCUAGGUCCUUAUAACUCGUUUUUACCCACAUGUCAAUCGAUCUACCUCAUUAGUUGCGUCUCUCCCUUCCUCCGAUAAACAACAAUUGAUCUACUGAUCUAGUUAGGUUUGCUUACCAAACACAUGGUUCCCCUUCAUCAUCCAUGGAUGUGUCCCGAGAGAUCUAUCACGCACAGGCACACACAGAAACACAUCCCCACUCUUAUUGAUAACAUUACAGUUCCACCCUCAGUUUGUCUAGUAGGCCUCUCCCACCAUCUUCGAGAAGCAACUCCAUCACCCAUCCAUCACUCUACCCCUCUCCCUCCCUCUCUCUCUCCUCUCUCUCUCCCAUCAUAUUUCCCGUCCUUCAGUUAUGUAUGGAUGUCGACUGAUCUCCCUCAAGACAUAGCUGGGUCUCUCCUUCUCAACACAUAUACGAGUCAUUCUACCUCUAUAGUUAGGCCUCUGCCUACCCCUUCCACCACCCCCCACACACCGAUACAUCGAGCGCUCUAGUCAUGUCUCCCUGCCACACACAAACUUGACGUGUGCCCUCCAACGUUUCGGUAGGCCAGUCGCCCUAUAUCUUUGACUUGUACACACACACAAUUUCGAUGGCUCUCUUCAUCGAUCUCGCACCCACCCACUUGAUCCUCUCUUUGACUCUAUCGAUAGCUAUGACCCCUCCCUCUAUUCUCGUGGAUUGCCCGACCCUCUAUGUAUGAUAUGGAUAGGCCUCCAUUUCACACACAUUGCAUGCAAAAUUUUGUUUGAGAUUUCAUCGACACAUAUUCCCACAAAUAAUUCACGAAAUCAACCCCCACCCCACCCCCACCCCAAAACAAAAAACACUCACGAAUGCGGUUUGUAUCUCUCACACACUCCCACGUAGGUGGGGGACGCGCACGAAGAGAAGAGGUGCAUGCACGGCGCACGUACUCCCGUCUCUUUCCCAACCACACCCACGCGGUUACACGGUGGAGCUCAUUUCUGUACGAAAAAGGCAGCCCACGUGGUAAUUUGGCAUGUGUACUGGUUGUCCACUUGGUGGAGGGAGGAUCAUCUACCACAAGUGAACAAACAAAUUGCGACUUGACGUGUUAUGUUAAAAAAGAGGCAAACCAUGUGGGGCCUACCUUAGAGGCAAGGCUCUAUACACUAGAGUACUUUUGAUGUGUCCCGUCAACUCGCAGAACGAGGAGAAGCUUGCUUAGUACGCCGUCUCCCCCGCCCACGGGCGCGGUGGCUCGCAGGAUGAGGUGAAGCUUGCUUACUAUGCCUUACGCCCGCUCCCUCGCCCAUGCGUGCGGUGGCUCGCAGGACGAGGAGAAAAAAUUACUACUCCCUCCGUUUACUCCUCGUCCCUACUACCUUGGUUAUAGAGAUUAUAUCAUAUUGUUUGGAAUAUAUAUGUCCUUUAGUAGAUUUCAAUAUGAACUACUAGUACAUACUCCAAACACUGAUGUAUAUAGACGUAUUUUAGAGUGUAGAUUCACUCAUUUUUCUCCAUAUGUAGCACUCUCCCUCGCCCCUCACCCCUCGCCCACGUGGUGGACGUGCAGCAAUUCAUUCGGUCUCAUAUAGCCAGAACGAUAUAUACUGCACUACCAUUAUUGCUCGACUUCCCGAAGAGGCGAAGAGCCAAUCGCAAGGUCAAUAUUUUGAGAUGCCAAGCGCAAGGUUAUAGGAGAACGAGUAGUAGGUGCCGCAUCAUUUAUAAAUAAAGUUUUUUUCUUCGGUGGCACGUACGCAAUAUGAUAGGUUCAUAUGGAGAGAAAAGGAAACCGCUCCACUAUAUACAUAGUCAGGACGGGCCAGCCUACACGGUUGCUUGCUGGGGUUGCUCUCUUCACACUCUCUCGCACAAAACGACUAUGGCCACAUCUCUAACAUCCCGGCGGAUCAUGUCCGCUUGGGGAAGGGGUGGUUGCUUAGUGUAGAUGCGGUGGCCAUCGCCGAAGGCGAAAACCCACUAUCGGCACGUCCCGAUCAGGGGUCCCCGCCGUUCUCUCUCACAAAGCCGGUGAGGUUGCCUUCGUCCCUUCCUCACUACCGCAACGUGGGCAGUUGCCGCCUCCCGCCGCCCUCCUCAAGGUUGAGCUACGUCCCUCAGGUGCAACUCCCUUUACAGCCGGCUUGCACCACUGCUCCAGCUGCCCACAUCACUCCCUAUGGAUAUUUCUCUACUUCUUUGCCCCGCACAUACCUCUACUGGCUUUGUGCUGUAUUUGUGAUGAGUUUAUGUCUCAUCAACUAGUCCCAGUAAUCUUAUUCUAAUCACGCUUGUUCAAUUUCUUUGCCACAGGGAUGCUCAUCUCGAUUUUGGUGAAACUGCACAAAAUGAUCCGAUGGUCAAAAGGUUGCAAACUUCAUUUAUUAGGAAGCUCAAACAUUGCCAGCAAAUUGAAGCCUGGUCAGGGUUCACGGUUCAAGGGCUAGGGACUGCAUGGAUCGUUUUUUUCUUUAGCCGCCUCUGUUCCAAAAUAAGUGUCAACUUUAGUAGUAAUACAACUUUGUACUAAAGUUUGCACAAAGUUGAGAAACUUAUUUUGGAACAGAGGGAGUACAUAUUUGCUAUGAUCUGUCAAUCAUUGAGAUGCAAUAACAUGCAUGUUAGUCUCCUUUGUAUUUGUUGAAAUGUUGCAACGGGCAACCUUGGAUGCAAGAUACAUGUAACAGAAGCUGGAAGCUUCAUAGCAUUGUACAAAUUUAUCUCGCUGAUAAAUUACAGUACAUACUAUACUAGUACUUCCUCCCUUCCUAAAUAUAAGUCUUUGUAGAGAUUUCACCAUGAACCACAUGUGGAUGUAUAUAGAUGCAUUUUAAGUGUAGAUUCAUUCAUUUUGUUCCGUAUGUAGUGGAAUCUCUACAAAGACUUAUAUCUACUAGUAAUAGCUAGCCCCCACUACUAGGAAUUCUCUAUCCUCUCCUUGAGCCACGUCAUCAAAAUUGAUGUAGCCGUUAGAUGAAGUAAAUCAGUCCAUAAUAGCCGUCUGAUCUUGACGUUGAGAGGCUCCACACUAAGACACAUGCAAGCAUGCAGAAAUACCGUGCCACAUGCAUGUGAGUGGGUUUUAAAUCACAUCAACAUGUCUGCAUGCAAUCAUGCACCGGUAGCAUGCAUGUAAGUGAGCUUUUAAGUCCCAUUAACAUGUCAAAAAGAAAAAUAUAAUCCCAUUAUGCAGUAGGAGUUGGCUGAUCUUUUUUCCUUACGUGGGAUGAUCUAAAUGAUGAUGGGAGUUUAUUUUGUUUGGCUACCACAUUUGUCAUGCGGUUAUAGAGUUUUUUUGUUCUAUGAAAUCGAUAAUUUUGCGCAGAGAGAUAUACCGCUGUUCCGCGCCAACACGCGGGGACUCAUCUAGUAAUAUUUAGGAACGGAGGGAGUACUAUGUAAAGAGUUAGGUGUCGCACGGUGAUAGUGUGAGGUGGGCCAUGUAAUCACCUGCAUGUUUUCACUGCUCUUGCACGCCUCCGCUGUAAGAAUGGAGAAAAUUGUAAUCUAGUAGUAGUAGUAUACCUCCUUUCGCCGAAAGCGUAGGACAUCCGGCAGUCCUACCACCUCAGUAAUAAAGACCAAUGAGCCGUCAAAUCACAUAGACCCAGCAGUAAGUUGGACGGACGAAGCAAGCAUCACUCUUGCGCCAGUGAGAGGUCGCACCCGCUCUGCCCGGGCAUGAAUGCGGCACCGAUUCUUUAGAGCAGCGCUGACCGUUUUGGGCGGGAAGCACGCACGGGCGAUGGAGGGGCUUUGGGUGGGCCAGGCUGGUCAGGAGCGGGCGUGGCAGCUGUCCGCAUGUCCCUACCGGACACGCCCGGAAACGAGAGGAUGCACUGACUCUCGCGGCUAAAAUGGUACACUACACAACAUCUCUCUGUAGGAGUAGGUCGAUCUGUCGCUCUCUCUAACACACACAUGGUGUUAAACACACACACACACACACACACACACACACACACACACACACGCACCUUGGUCCCGUUGCACCUUCUAACAUGACUUAUUACACCUAGACGAAGGGAGUAGUAAGUAUACGAGAUACGGUGGCACACUGACUUAAGUCGAAUACAAGUGCCCAAAAUUUGUGUGCAUGUUAUAAUAAGGAUUCACUUAAAAUAGUACGUGAGCGAACAGAGGGAUCAAUUGGAUAGUGUUCCCGAGCAGUAGCGAGAUGUGUGAGGUAAGAUACACCGCUGGCGCUUUUAAUUUUUCUUUUUAAUUUGUUUGUUUCACCCUCUGACUGGUGGGACCCAACAUACUACGUGGAGAGAGGUAAGGUGACUAAGGCUGCAUUAUUUCUGCACCACUGUGGAUAGUAUUACCACCAAAGCCACAUGACACGAUUAUGAUUGAAAUCCCAAUGACUCCCACACCCACAAAAAAAACAC